Molecule: ribosomal RNA, 248 nt
Filed under: uncultured bacterium
Lineage: Bacteria
Description: partial 16S ribosomal RNA
Rfam family: Bacterial small subunit ribosomal RNA
Source: RNAcentral
GGGAGCAAGCGUUGUUCGGAUUUACUGGGCGUAAAGGGCGCGUAGGCGGUCGUGACAAGUCACUUGUGAAAUCUCCGGGCUUAACUCGGAACGGUCAAGUGAUACUGUCGGACUAGAGUACAGAAGGGGCAACUGGAAUUCUCGGUGUAGCGGUGAAAUGCGUAGAUAUCGAGAGGAACACCUGCGGCGAAGGCGGGUUGCUGGGCUGAUACUGACGCUGAGGCGCGAAAGCCAGGGGAGCGAACGGG